GCCAGCAUUCAGUUGGGCACUUUAAGGUGACUGCCGGUGACAAACCGGAGGAAGGUGGGGAUGACGUCAAAUCAUCAUGCCCCUUAUGACCUGGGCUACACACGUGCUACAAUGGACAGAACAAAGGGCUGCAAGACCGCAAGGUUUAGCCAAUCCCAUAAAUCUGUUCUCAGUUCGGAUCGCAGUCUGCAACUCGACUGCGUGAAGCUGGAAUCGCUAGUAAUCGCGGAUCAGCAUGCCGCGGUGAAUACGUUCCCGGGCCUUGUACACACCGCCCGUCACACCACGAGAGUUUGCAACACCCGAAGUCGG
This 312-nucleotide ribosomal RNA is filed under the name Bacillus pumilus. RNAcentral's name for it is "bacterial SSU rRNA". It matches the Rfam family "Bacterial small subunit ribosomal RNA", at positions 1117 to 1430 of the family's 1533-position model. Lineage: Bacteria; Bacillati; Bacillota; Bacilli; Caryophanales; Bacillaceae. The record is from RNAcentral.